This 494-nucleotide ribosomal RNA is filed under the name uncultured bacterium. RNAcentral's name for it is "partial 16S ribosomal RNA". It matches the Rfam family "Bacterial small subunit ribosomal RNA", at positions 28 to 507 of the family's 1533-position model. The record is from RNAcentral.
GACGAACGCUGGCGGCGUGCUUAACACAUGCAAGUCGAACGGAAAGGCCUGCUUUCCCUUGUGGAUUGCGGGUACUCGAGUGGCGAACGGGUGAGUAACACGUGAGUGAUCUGCCCCCAACUUGGGUAUAAGCCUGGGAAACUGGGUCUAAUUCCCGAUAGGACUGCAGGGUGGUGCCUGUGGUGGAAAACGAUUUUCUAGUGGUUGGGGAUGAGCUCGCGGCCUAUCAGCUUGUUGGUGGGGUAAUGGCCUACCAAGGCGGCGACGGGUAGCCGGCCUGGGAGGGUGGACGGCCACAUUGGGACUGAGAUACGGCCCAGAAUCCUACGGGAGGCAGCAGUGGGGAAUAUUGCACAAUGGGCGGAAGCCUGAUGCAGCGACGCCGCGUGGGGGAUGACGGCCUUCGGGUUGUAAACUCCUUUCGACCGCGAGGAAGCCACCUGGUUGGAAGGGUGGUGACGGUAGUGGUAGAAGAAGCACCGGCUAACUACGUG